CACAGCGUGUCCGAGUGAUCAAGGAGGUGGACUUGAAAUCCACUGGGCUCUGCCUGCGCAGGUUCGAAUCCUGCCGCUGUCG
Molecule: non-coding RNA, 82 nt
Organism: Perkinsus marinus ATCC 50983
Lineage: Eukaryota; Perkinsozoa; Perkinsida; Perkinsidae
Source: Rfam